ACAAUACUGUGAAUGCUUUUCAAGCAUUCACACUAAUAAUAAAGAUUAGAAUAACAAUACUGUGAAUGCUUUUCAAGCAUUCACACUAAUAACUAGAAAGUGCAUUUUCUGAAGAAACUGCAGUGUGAAUGCUUGAAUCUGAAUGUAUGGACUGAAAUGAAUUAAUUGCUGAAUUUUGAGUUAAAAAUUUUGAAUGAGAUAAAAAAAAAAACAACAACCUGAAUUUAACCUGAAAACAAAGGUGCUGAACUGCUAAAAGCUGAAGGUUACACAGAAGAAGAAGUUGGAAAAAAGCUGAAAAUGUUUUAAUUGUAAAUUAGAAAAACCUAAGAAAUGAGAAAAGAACAUUUAGAGUCAGAAAACAUCUGAAAGAAUAUUAAAAGGUUAUAUUCUUUGAAUCACUGAAUGACUAAAAUGUGAUCCCUCCACUUGGACCCACACAGUUUAAAAAGUUUACAUCUCUGAGCUUUGAAAGACAAGAUGUUGGAAAAAGAACAACGAUGGCGACGUUUUGAGGGUAAAAUGAUGGCUUUAACACUGUGGACACAGCAGCAGUUGAAAGAGAAGUGCUUAAGAUGAAUCUUGGCAGAGUGGCAGGCAGAGCUCGUUAAGCAGGCAGGUGUGAGCCUGGUUGCUAUAGUGACCGCACCCAAUGGCUCCAUACACACGUACACAGACAUGCACCUCACUUUUGCUGCUUAAAAUGAACAGAAAAGUCAGGCCGAAACAAAUCGUUCCCAUAUGAAAAGUACAAGUCGUAUUGACGAAAUUCUUUCACCGUGAGCGACAGCAGCUUCUAGUCUACUGAAUUCUCAGUUUUCAUGCCUGUGGAGUUUAUUAUAUGGACGUGGUGACAGUGUAAAAACACCAUGCUCUUCUGAUUUUCAAACCAACCUUCUGAGCCGUUUUAACAUUAGAGUCUAUGGAAGAGUUGGAGGGAGGAGGCUGUGCAUUGGUGACAUUUAUGAAAGAACCAUAACACCUAGGACAAUAGUAAACACAUUGGAUGAAAGAGGACAGCCAUGGCUACGUUUUGAGGGUAAAAUCAUACCUGUAGAGCAAACGCUGUGGACACAGCAGCAGUUUUAAAAAAGAUUUUAAGAUUAAUUUUUUUGCUCCUCUCACUCUAGCAGUUGAGCUGCCUCACUCUAGCCCCA
Long non-coding RNA from Astatotilapia calliptera (eastern happy), 1157 nucleotides. The record is from Ensembl. Lineage: Eukaryota; Metazoa; Chordata; Actinopteri; Cichliformes; Cichlidae.